AAUCCACAUAGAAAUGGCCGUCCACGAGGGCGGAGGAAAAAUCGUGCAUACAUUAUCCUCCGUAUACAACCAGCUAAUAUCAAUACCACCAACAAGUGUGGAGUCGGAAAGGGCAUUUUCGGCAGCUGGGGUGUUCUGUAACCGUAUGAGGACGAGGUUAAGUGACGAAUCUCUUGAUGCGGUGAUAUUUUGUUAUUGGCGUAGCAGUGUACGCAUUCUGUUUUUUUUAUUUUUAAUAAAAACAACUUAAUUUGAUUGUUUGUUUCACUUUGCCUUUAUGCCACAUAUUCCUUUCUUAAAAUCCGGAUUGAAUCCGAACUUCGGAUUUCGGUCAAACCAAAAUCCGAAAAUCCGGAUUUGAAAAAAUGUUCACGGAUUUGCAAUCGCU
Long non-coding RNA from Cydia splendana, 388 nucleotides. RefSeq lists it as uncharacterized. NCBI's taxonomy places the organism in Eukaryota, Metazoa, Arthropoda, Insecta, Lepidoptera, Tortricidae. The record is from RefSeq and is a predicted model, not a curated record. The transcript is spliced from 3 exons.